Molecule: ribosomal RNA, 253 nt
Filed under: uncultured bacterium
Lineage: Bacteria
Description: partial 16S ribosomal RNA
Rfam family: Bacterial small subunit ribosomal RNA
Source: RNAcentral
UACGGAGGGUGCAAGCGUUAAUCGGAAUUACUGGGCGUAAAGGGCGCGUAGGUGGCUGUUUAAGUUGGCUGUGAAAUUCCUGGGCUUAACCUGGGAAUUGCAUUUCAAACUGGCCGACUAGAGUACGGUAGAGGGAGGUAGAAUUUCCUGUGUAGCGGUGAAAUGCGUAGAUAUAGGAAGGAAUACCAGUGGCGAAGGCGGCCUCCUGGAUCGAUACUGACGCUGAGGCGCGAAAGCGUGGGGAGCAAACAGG